Long non-coding RNA from Pezoporus flaviventris, 648 nucleotides. RefSeq lists it as uncharacterized. Lineage: Eukaryota; Metazoa; Chordata; Aves; Psittaciformes; Psittacidae. The transcript has 3 exons. The record is from RefSeq and is a predicted model, not a curated record.
GGUGGGUUGCUGGGAGAAACCAAGGUGAGAGCUGGCAGCCAGGAAGGCAGCGUAAGCCUUGGGUGGGAAGAAAAGAGGCAUGCCAUGAGCAGUCAGUAUGGACAGACCGCAGGCUGGCUGGCUGCCUGCUGCCUUGGAAAGUCACGGGCUGUGCACCUGCAAGGUACUGGUAAGGGAUCUAUGGAUCUAUAGCAGUAUCACGUCAUACUUAAUUUCCCAGUAUCUUUACUUUUUGGAAAAUAUAAUUAGAAUAUAUUAUUGUAUCUCCAAGCAUACACAGGGCUUAUCUUUGAAAUGUUCCUUUGCUGUCAGAAGAACAGGCUCAGAAUGGGGAGAAGGAUUCACUGAUACUGCCAGUAUUUCUGACAUUUGCGACUGAAAUGAGGGAAACUGAAACACAGAGAGGUGAGAUGACCUGUCUUAACAUUGAGAGCAGCUCAGCAACAGAAGCGGGAACAGAUCCUGCAUCUCCAGACUGGCCUGUCCAACACUUGAUUUGCUUCUUUCAAAGUGGAAAUUUGCAUCAUUUACUGGUGUACCCCUGAAUUGUUCACACAGCAUGUGAUUAUUUGUUCAUUAAUGGGCUAAAAUUACUGCAGGUAUUUAUUAUUUAAAAGUUAAUAAAACUCUUUAACCGUUUUGUGCAAA